RNAcentral lists this long non-coding RNA (441 nucleotides) under Olea europaea (common olive). RNAcentral describes it as "long non-coding RNA (OEUR_LNC012518)". The record is from RNAcentral. Lineage: Eukaryota; Viridiplantae; Streptophyta; Magnoliopsida; Lamiales; Oleaceae.
GAUGCUUAGGUGUAAUCUAUACUAGGAUUGGAUGUAAUAUUAUGAAUUACAUGUAUUUUGAAUUACAUCUGGGAGAGAAGAGAAUAGGACACUGUCAAAUUUAACGUUUGUCCUGAAUUUGGUUAUUGUAGUUGUGAUCUCAUUCCUUUGAUGGAGAUAUAUUAAUUUGAGUAUUUCAAUCGCUAAUAAAAACUAAGAAACGGAUUUUAGGAGCUCUGUAUUAGGAUUUUGUGAAAGUUUUGAUUCACAACUUUCUCCAUUAUCUUCCAUUGGUAGUUUGGCUUGACCCUAGUUGUGUUAAAUAUGUUUUAGAAAAGAAUUACAACAAGAAGGGAUACACGGUCUUACCUUGUUAUACAAAUAAGUUAAGGAGAAAUGGAAGUCCUCUUUAUUUGUGAAUGUGGAUAGAGGAAACCCUAUAUUUGAAUUUUUGAAUUAGAC